RNAcentral lists this long non-coding RNA (277 nucleotides) under Theobroma cacao (cacao). RNAcentral describes it as "long non-coding RNA (TCAC_LNC002677)". The record is from RNAcentral. Lineage: Eukaryota; Viridiplantae; Streptophyta; Magnoliopsida; Malvales; Malvaceae.
AAAUAUUGUGAAAAGUAAUCAGUAGCAAAUACAAACCCACUCAACAAAACAAAAAGACCAGGGUCCAGUCAAAACACAAGAAUCCACCCCAGAUAGGAUCUGAACAAUAAACAAACCAAGAUCACCAACACACAAAAAAUCAACAUCACAAGCCAAUCUGAGAAACACUUGGUCGAUCAAAGCAACAGAGGAGAGACAAAAUCAUUCAAAGGAAGAGCCUCAGAGAGUCAAUCAAGGGUCACCACUGCCUCAACAGACGCACAGCAACCAUUCCAAC